GGGCGGGCGUCUUUUCGGCCAGCCUGACUCCAUAUUCACCCAUGUCUUUUGCGUACUACUUGUUUCCUUGGUGGGUUCGCCCACCAACAGGACCAUUCAAACCUUUUUGUAAUUGCAAUCAGCGUCAGCAAAACAAUGUAAUAAAUUACAACUUUCAACAACGGAUCUCUUGGUUCUGGCAUCGAUGAAGAACGCAGCGAAAUGCGAUAAGUAGUGUGAAUUGCAGAAUUCAGUGAAUCAUCGAAUCUUUGAACGCACAUUGCGCCCUUUGGUAUUCCAAAGGGCAUGCCUGUUCGAGCGUCAUUUGUACCCUCAAGCUUUGCUUGGUGUUGGGCGUUUUUGUCUCUGGUCCGCCAGCGACUCGCCUUAAAAUCAUUGGCAGCCGGCCUACUGGUUUCGGAGCGCAGCACAAAUUUGCGCUUCUUCCAGCAGCGGUCCGCGUCCAUGAAGCCACUUUUUCAACGUUUGACCUCGGAUCAGGUAGGGAUACCCGCUGAACUUAAGCAUAUCAAUAAGCGGAGGAA
Molecule: ribosomal RNA, 524 nt
Filed under: Drechslera sp. ca_besc_196i
Lineage: Eukaryota; Fungi; Ascomycota; Dothideomycetes; Pleosporales; Pleosporaceae
Description: eukaryotic LSU rRNA
Rfam family: 5.8S ribosomal RNA (bases 150-303)
Source: RNAcentral